GGGGAUGUAGCUCAGUGGUAGAGCGCUCGCUUCGCAUUCCUGGCCGAGAGGGCCUGGGAACGAGUCUGCGAGAGGCCCGGGGUUCGACUCCCCGUAUCUCCA
This is a non-coding RNA of Desmophyllum pertusum, 102 nucleotides long. The record is from the annotation of a GenBank genome assembly. NCBI's taxonomy places the organism in Eukaryota, Metazoa, Cnidaria, Anthozoa, Scleractinia, Caryophylliidae.